CCAGAUAAAGCCUCAUUUUAUUGGAAUCUUAAGGUUUGCAACUAAUUCAAUUACGUUUCCAUGUUAUACGGAGAUUAAAAUUUUUGAGAAUGGCAAACCUGAAAAAGCAUUAAGAUUUCCUUGUGGUCCGAAGAUUUCUGGUGUAUUCAACGUUACUCAUGAUAGUGUAAUUUUUAUGACAUCUAAAUUCGUCAGCUCUACCAAUGGAACUUUUAAUCAAGAAAUCACAAUUUUUGAAGAUAGAACAUUCAAUGGCACAAUCUCUGUCAUUUGCGGGACCUUUUUUUCAACGUCAAUGCCAACAAUAAAGAUCAAAACUACAGAUGAUACCAAAUUAAAUAUCACUGUGUCCUCACCAACCAUAUCAAAAGAUAUCCAAACUGAAAACAAUAAAUUAAGCACUACACAACAGUGUGCGUUUACGAAUUACAUAAUAUCUGGUUUCUCUGGAGCUGCCAUCGGUGUAUCCUUUACAGUCGUUAUC
This is a long non-coding RNA of Saccostrea echinata, 484 nucleotides long. RefSeq lists it as uncharacterized. The transcript has 3 exons. The record is from RefSeq and is a predicted model, not a curated record. Lineage: Eukaryota; Metazoa; Mollusca; Bivalvia; Ostreida; Ostreidae.